Molecule: ribosomal RNA, 2796 nt
Filed under: Shigella flexneri
Lineage: Bacteria; Pseudomonadati; Pseudomonadota; Gammaproteobacteria; Enterobacterales; Enterobacteriaceae
Description: partial 23S ribosomal RNA
Rfam family: Bacterial large subunit ribosomal RNA
Source: RNAcentral
GGGGAAACCCAGUGUGAUUCGUCACACUAUCAUUAACUGAAUCCAUAGGUUAAUGAGGCGAACCGGGGGAACUGAAACAUCUAAGUACCCCGAGGAAAAGAAAUCAACCGAGAUUCCCCCAGUAGCGGCGAGCGAACGGGGAGCAGCCCAGAGCCUGAAUCAGUGUGUGUGUUAGUGGAAGCGUCUGGAAAGGCGUGCGAUACAGGGUGACAGCCCCGUACACAAAAAUGCACAUACUGUGAGCUCGAUGAGUAGGGCGGGACACGUGGUAUCCUGUCUGAAUAUGGGGGGACCAUCCUCCAAGGCUAAAUACUCCUGACUGACCGAUAGUGAACCAGUACCGUGAGGGAAAGGCGAAAAGAACCCCGGCGAGGGGAGUGAAAAAGAACCUGAAACCGUGUACGUACAAGCAGUGGGAGCACGCUUAGGCGUGUGACUGCGUACCUUUUGUAUAAUGGGUCAGCGACUUAUAUUCUGUAGCAAGGUUAACCGAAUAGGGGAGCCGAAGGGAAACCGAGUCUUAACUGGGCGUUAAGUUGCAGGGUAUAGACCCGAAACCCGGUGAUCUAGCCAUGGGCAGGUUGAAGGUUGGGUAACACUAACUGGAGGACCGAACCGACUAAUGUUGAAAAAUUAGCGGAUGACUUGUGGCUGGGGGUGAAAGGCCAAUCAAACCGGGAGAUAGCUGGUUCUCCCCGAAAGCUAUUUAGGUAGCGCCUCGUGAAUUCAUCUCCGGGGGUAGAGCACUGUUUCGGCAAGGGGGUCAUCCCGACUUACCAACCCGAUGCAAACUGCGAAUACCGGAGAAUGUUAUCACGGGAGACACACGGCGGGUGCUAACGUCCGUCGUGAAGAGGGAAACAACCCAGACCGCCAGCUAAGGUCCCAAAGUCAUGGUUAAGUGGGAAACGAUGUGGGAAGGCCCAGACAGCCAGGAUGUUGGCUUAGAAGCAGCCAUCAUUUAAAGAAAGCGUAAUAGCUCACUGGUCGAGUCGGCCUGCGCGGAAGAUGUAACGGGGCUAAACCAUGCACCGAAGCUGCGGCAGCGACGCUUAUGCGUUGUUGGGUAGGGGAGCGUUCUGUAAGCCUGUGAAGGUGUGCUGUGAGGUAUGCUGGAGGUAUCAGAAGUGCGAAUGCUGACAUAAGUAACGAUAAAGCGGGUGAAAAGCCCGCUCGCCGGAAGACCAAGGGUUCCUGUCCAACGUUAAUCGGGGCAGGGUGAGUCGACCCCUAAGGCGAGGCCGAAAGGCGUAGUCGAUGGGAAACAGGUUAAUAUUCCUGUACUUGGUGUUACUGCGAAGGGGGGACGGAGAAGGCUAUGUUGGCCGGGCGACGGUUGUCCCGGUUUAAGCGUGUAGGCUGGUUUUCCAGGCAAAUCCGGAAAAUCAAGGCCGAGGCGUGAUGACGAGGCACUACGGUGCUGAAGCAACAAAUGCCCUGCUUCCAGGAAAAGCCUCUAAGCAUCAGGUAACAUCAAAUCGUACCCCAAACCGACACAGGUGGUCAGGUAGAGAAUACCAAGGCGCUUGAGAGAACUCGGGUGAAGGAACUAGGCAAAAUGGUGCCGUAACUUCGGGAGAAGGCACGCUGAUACGUAGGUGAAGCGACUUGCUCGUGGAGCUGAAAUCAGUCGAAGAUACCAGCUGGCUGCAACUGUUUAUUAAAAACACAGCACUGUGCAAACACGAAAGUGGACGUAUACGGUGUGACGCCUGCCCGGUGCCGGAAGGUUAAUUGAUGGGGUUAGCGCAAGCGAAGCUCUUGAUCGAAGCCCCGGUAAACGGCGGCCGUAACUAUAACGGUCCUAAGGUAGCGAAAUUCCUUGUCGGGUAAGUUCCGACCUGCACGAAUGGCGUAAUGAUGGCCAGGCUGUCUCCACCCGAGACUCAGUGAAAUUGAACUCGCUGUGAAGAUGCAGUGUACCCGCGGCAAGACGGAAAGACCCCGUGAACCUUUACUAUAGCUUGACACUGAACAUUGAGCCUUGAUGUGUAGGAUAGGUGGGAGGCUUUGAAGUGUGGACGCCAGUCUGCAUGGAGCCGACCUUGAAAUACCACCCUUUAAUGUUUGAUGUUCUAACGUGGACCCGUGAUCCGGGUUGCGGACAGUGUCUGGUGGGUAGUUUGACUGGGGCGGUCUCCUCCUAAAGAGUAACGGAGGAGCACGAAGGUUGGCUAAUCCUGGUCGGACAUCAGGAGGUUAGUGCAAUGGCAUAAGCCAGCUUGACUGCGAGCGUGACGGCGCGAGCAGGUGCGAAAGCAGGUCAUAGUGAUCCGGUGGUUCUGAAUGGAAGGGCCAUCGCUCAACGGAUAAAAGGUACUCCGGGGAUAACAGGCUGAUACCGCCCAAGAGUUCAUAUCGACGGCGGUGUUUGGCACCUCGAUGUCGGCUCAUCACAUCCUGGGGCUGAAGUAGGUCCCAAGGGUAUGGCUGUUCGCCAUUUAAAGUGGUACGCGAGCUGGGUUUAGAACGUCGUGAGACAGUUCGGUCCCUAUCUGCCGUGGGCGCUGGAGAACUGAGGGGGGCUGCUCCUAGUACGAGAGGACCGGAGUGGACGCAUCACUGGUGUUCGGGUUGUCAUGCCAAUGGCACUGCCCGGUAGCUAAAUGCGGAAGAGAUAAGUGCUGAAAGCAUCUAAGCACGAAACUUGCCCCGAGAUGAGUUCUCCCUGACCCUUUAAGGGUCCUGAAGGAACGUUGAAGACGACGACGUUGAUAGGCCGGGUGUGUAAGCGCAGCGAUGCGUUGAGCUAACCGGUACUAAUGAACCGUGAGGCUUAACCUUACAACGCCGAAG